This 309-nucleotide ribosomal RNA is filed under the name uncultured eukaryote. Its description in RNAcentral is "partial 18S ribosomal RNA". It matches the Rfam family "Eukaryotic small subunit ribosomal RNA", at positions 1470 to 1796 of the family's 1831-position model. The record is from RNAcentral.
CCCUUAGAUGUUCUGGGCGGCCCGCGCACUACAUUGGCACUAGCAAAGAGAUCCUAGAUUGAAUUCUUUGGGGUAUUCUUCUAAAUGGUGUCGUGACUGGGAUAAAUCCUUGUAAUUAUUGGUUUUGAACGAGGAAUUCCUUGUAAUCGCGGUUUAUCAGCUCGCGUUGAAUGCGUCCCUGCCCUUUGUACACACCGCCCGUCGCUCCUACCGAUGGAUCGCCCGGUGAAGCUCACGGAGUGACUGUUCACGCAACGGUUUACGAAGUGAAAUGGACCUCACGAUUUAGAGGAAGGAGAAGUCGUAACA